GCAGUGUACCCGCGGCAAGACGGAAAGACCCCGUGAACCUUUACUAUAGCUUGACACUGAACACUGGUCCUUGAUGUGUAGGAUAGGUGGGAGGCUUUGAAGCGUGGACGCCAGUCUGCGUGGAGCCAACCUUGAAAUACCACCCUUUAAUGGCUGGUGUUCUAACGUAGACCCGUAAUCCGGGUUGCGGACAGUGUCUGGUGGGUAGUUUGACUGGGGCGGUCUCCUCCCAAAGAGUAACGGAGGAGCACGAAGG
RNAcentral lists this ribosomal RNA (256 nucleotides) under Enterobacter hormaechei. RNAcentral describes it as "partial 23S ribosomal RNA". It matches the Rfam family "Bacterial large subunit ribosomal RNA", at positions 2061 to 2316 of the family's 2925-position model. RNAcentral also lists the same sequence under 2 other names. Lineage: Bacteria; Pseudomonadati; Pseudomonadota; Gammaproteobacteria; Enterobacterales; Enterobacteriaceae. The record is from RNAcentral.